Otolemur garnettii (small-eared galago) is the source of this 235-nucleotide RNA transcript. It is a transcript of the gene named 6.8 kDa mitochondrial proteolipid pseudogene, with no coding region annotated. The record is from RefSeq and is a predicted model, not a curated record. NCBI's taxonomy places the organism in Eukaryota, Metazoa, Chordata, Mammalia, Primates, Galagidae. The transcript is spliced from 2 exons.
GUGACCUUUCACCAGUCUCUGCCUGUGGGUCUCUCCUGGGCCCAGCCAUUGCUUUGGUGCUGAGAUGCUUCAAAGCUUUAUUAAAAAUGUAUGGGUCCCCAUGAAACCUUACUAUACCGAAGUUUACCAGGAGAUCUGGAUGGGAAUGGGGUUGAUGAGCUUCAUUGUUUAUAAAAUCAGGAGUGCUGAUAAAAGAAGUAAAGCUUUGAAAGCUCCUGCACCUCCACAACUAUGA